This 301-nucleotide ribosomal RNA is filed under the name uncultured bacterium. RNAcentral's name for it is "partial 16S ribosomal RNA". It matches the Rfam family "Bacterial small subunit ribosomal RNA", at positions 509 to 809 of the family's 1533-position model. The record is from RNAcentral.
CAGUAGCCACGGUAAUACAGAGGGUGCAAGCGUUAAUCGGAAUUACUGGGCGUAAAGCGCGCGUAGGUGGUUUGUUAAGUUGGAUGUGAAAGCCCCGGGCUCAACCUGGGAACUGCAUCCAAAACUGGCAAGCUAGAGUACGGUAGAGGGUGGUGGAAUUUCCUGUGUAGCGGUGAAAUGCGUAGAUAUAGGAAGGAACACCAGUGGCGAAGGCGACCACCUGGACUGAUACUGACACUGAGGUGCGAAAGCGUGGGGAGCAAACAGGAUUAGAUACCCCUGUAGUCCCUGUCUCUUAUAU